GUGUCCUUCGGGACAAGGAGACAGGUGGUGCAUUGGUUGUCGUCAGCUCGUGUCGUGAGAUGUUUGGGUUAAGUCCCGCAACGAGCGCAACCCUCGCCUUUAGUUGCCAGCAUUCAGUUGGGCACUCUAGAGGGACUGCCGGUGUCAAACCGGAGGAAGGUGGGAUGACGUCAAGUCCUCAUGGCCUUUAUGUCUAGGGCUACACACGUACUACAAUGGCCGGUACAAAGGGCAGCCACUCAGCGAUGAGGCGCUAAUCCCAUAAAGCCGGUCUCAGUCCGGAUCGCAGUCUGCAACUCGACUGCGUGAAGUUGGAAUCGCUAGUAAUCGUAGAUCAGCAUGCUACGGUGAAUACGUUCCCGGGCCUU
Molecule: ribosomal RNA, 368 nt
Filed under: uncultured Desulfovibrio sp.
Lineage: Bacteria; Pseudomonadati; Thermodesulfobacteriota; Desulfovibrionia; Desulfovibrionales; Desulfovibrionaceae
Description: bacterial SSU rRNA
Rfam family: Bacterial small subunit ribosomal RNA
Source: RNAcentral